ACAGGUGUGUCUGCAGGGAGGACUUCUCAAGCUCCAGGGCUGGAUGCUUGGCCCCAACCCAGCUCCCAUGGCAGGGGUCCUCCAAAAGGGAAGACCCAAGAUACUGCAGCCCAAAUGUCUCAUGAGGCAGAUGAAUUCCUGAGAGAAACACAGAGGGAAGCACCCGGAGGACAAGUGAUGGACCAAAAGGCUGUUCAGGAGGAGGAACACUCAGGGAGAAGCAGUGGCUCAUUGGCAGCCCCUGCUGCAGGAAGGAAGGCGAUGCCAGACACGGGCACA
Passer domesticus (house sparrow) is the source of this 279-nucleotide long non-coding RNA. RefSeq lists it as uncharacterized. The record is from RefSeq and is a predicted model, not a curated record. NCBI's taxonomy places the organism in Eukaryota, Metazoa, Chordata, Aves, Passeriformes, Passeridae. The transcript has 3 exons.